Molecule: non-coding RNA, 115 nt
Organism: Triticum urartu
Lineage: Eukaryota; Viridiplantae; Streptophyta; Magnoliopsida; Poales; Poaceae
Source: Rfam
AAGAUACUCCCUCCGUUCGGAAUUACUUGUCUCGGAAAUGGAUGUAUCUAGAACUAAAAUACAUCUAGAUACAUCCAUUUCCGCGACAAGUAAUUCUGAAUGGAGGGAGUAGGUC